RNAcentral lists this ribosomal RNA (305 nucleotides) under uncultured bacterium. RNAcentral describes it as "bacterial SSU rRNA". It matches the Rfam family "Bacterial small subunit ribosomal RNA", at positions 337 to 659 of the family's 1533-position model. The record is from RNAcentral.
GCCUACGGGACGCAGCAGUGAGGAAUAUUGGUCAAUGGGGGAAGCCCUGAUGCAGCAACGCCGCGUGAGUGAAGAAGUAUUUCGGUAUGUAGAGCUCUAUCAGCAGGGAAGAAAAUGACGGUACCUGAGUAAGAAGCCCCGGCUAACUACGUGCCAGCAGCCGCGGUAAUACGUAGGGGGCAAGCGUUAUCCGGAUUUACUGGGUGUAAAGGGAGCGUAGACGGCGAUGCAAGUCUGAAGUGAAAGCCCGGGGCUCAACCCCGGGACUGCUUUGGAAACUGUAUGGCUGGAGUGCUGGAGAGGCC